UACGUAGGGUGCAAGCGUUGUCCGGAAUUAUUGGGCGUAAAGAGCUCGUAGGCGGUGUGUCACGUCGGCCGUGAAAACCUGCAGCUUAACUGUGGGCGUGCGGUCGAUACGGGCAUCACUGGAGUUCGGCAGGGGAGACUGGAAUUCCUGGUGUAGCGGUGAAAUGCGCAGAUAUCAGGAGGAACACCGGUGGCGAAGGCGGGUCUCUGGGCCGAUACUGACGCUCAUGCACGAAAGCGUGGGGAGCAAACAGG
This 254-nucleotide ribosomal RNA is filed under the name uncultured bacterium. Its description in RNAcentral is "partial 16S ribosomal RNA". It matches the Rfam family "Bacterial small subunit ribosomal RNA", at positions 524 to 776 of the family's 1533-position model. The record is from RNAcentral.